Molecule: long non-coding RNA, 3122 nt
Organism: Aquila chrysaetos chrysaetos
Lineage: Eukaryota; Metazoa; Chordata; Aves; Accipitriformes; Accipitridae
Exons: 3
Source: RefSeq, a predicted model, not a curated record
CUUCAAAAAUUAGGGUUUUUCUGAGAUCCUGCACAAAGGACUGGGUCCCAACCAACAUGGUGGCUGGAGAAAAUGAAUGGCUUUCUGCAAAGAUAGCUCAGGCGUCGUGCUGCUGGGUGGGUGAAGGCUCUCAGAGAUGCUCCCGUCUCCUCUGUCUUGCUGCCCAUUUUCCACCCCCUGCCCCAGGGAGCCGCCUGCUGCUCUACUCCCUGGCCCCAGGCCGGGCUUACAGGUCGCUCCUGUAAAACUGCGGGCACUCAGAUGCCAUGCAAAUUCACAGUUUAUGCCUCUGUCAUUAACUAAUCUUUCUAUGAGUUUCCUUUUGGCAAAGCUAUUUCUUACAUGGGCCCUGGGAGAAGCGGGGGGAAGCACGAGUGCGUGCACUGGGGACGGUGCUGUGGGUUUAUGGCAAAGUCUGAAACUUGGGGCUGUAACUGUGAUUUUUUUAUUCAGUGCAUGCAAUUCAGUAGAGUCUUCUCAAUUGAAUUAUGUCUCAAUAGAGACAUCAGAAAAAUAUUUUCUUUGUAGUUUUGUCACUCUUUUUAUCGAAGACUUUCUACUUGCUUGAAUUUAUAUGGAAAAUGAAUUUUAAUCAACAGCAACUAAUUGUCAAGACCAUAGUGUUGCCCUGCAAGGUUUGACUGAGUAUUAUUCACACUUAGGCUGGAAAUGAAUAAUUUUAAAGGAACUUGCCAGAGUAAGGAAAGCAUCCCUUUACAUGAGGAGAAGAGGGUGUCUACAGGGAAACGAAAGGGAGAUUAUCCAGAGGACAACGACUGCCAUGCCUGUUGCCAGGGCAUUUAGCCACAGAGGAUAUUUUAUCCGCUGUUACUCUUGUUAGCCUCCUCUCCUUGUUACCUGCUGCAGGCAGAAUUCAAUGUGCAAACCAUACCAAGAACAAAGUUCUGGCACUUGCAAUAAUUUAAAAGAACAAUAUGUCAAAACCAGCUUUUGGGGGCAUAUUUUCAAUGACUUCCACCUGAGGCAUUGCCUGCAUGAGGACAAGCUGGACCCUUAAUUUGACUUGAGUGAAAUUCUGAUAGUUCAAGUAUACACGUGCUCCUGUACCACUUACGCUGCCUCUGUUUGAAUAGUGGGUUAUGGUUCUGAUGUUCCUCCACUUGCCUGCAUAGAAUUGCACCUGAAGUGGCUAUUUUAACGUACACACACCCCCCCCAGGCAGAAGAGACAAGAAUGCUUUGCUGCUGUAAGGGCUGUCUAGUUUCUUACGGCCACAGAAAUGCAGUCCAAGCAACAAAGAAGUCUUUGUUCUAUCUCUAUGCUUGGGCUGUGCCUUGGAUAUUAGUUGGAAACCUGAUCGCCUGACAUCGCUAGAAGUCUGUGCGUACAAUGUGAGUCGUCUGCAGCCGGGAUUAAAUCAGGCCUUUUGUACCGAGAUGCUGAGGGGCCAUGUGAUCUUGGAGAAGCGAUGGUUAUGGAUGGCAGGAGAUUUUUAACCCUUUGCGCCUGUGGCAGGGAGCCGGGGGGGUUUGCUGAUGUGAAUGUUUGCAGGGGAGGGGGCUGCACAGGGGCAGCCAGGGCUGCUAUGUGUACCAAUCGUUAGUGAGCCUGAGAAAUUCCUGUCAAAAAAACAAAUAAUGCCUUACGUGGAGUGGGUGAAAUCCAGCCCCGUGUGAAGGCCCAGGUGGAGAUGGGAUCCCUGGCAGGGGGGUGUACAGGCACCUCCCCGUGGCACUGGAGACCCUCUGCUCUGCUCCCAGCACUGCCCGGCUGGCUGGUGCUGGCUGCCGGGGGGGGUCAGUGCUGCUGCUGCGCCGGACUGCCGGACCAAGCGCUCGCUGUCUUUGGGACGGCUCUUCACCACUUUCUGUGGGCAGAGGCACUUUUUCUUCAAACCCGACAAAUCAGGACUAUGAGACAAGGUUCACCAAUGGCUCAGAAACUUGAGUUGUUCCAUAAAAUCUUGUGAAGCAACAUGAUAAAUAAUAAAUACAAGAGUAUCUUUAUUUGCCUGGUGGCUUUGAAUUCUGGGCGCCCCGUUCUCAAGCAUUCCUCUUGCCCGCAGGACAUGCAGCUUUCUCUUCAGCUGAGACCGGGAGGUUGGGACCCUUACGCAGGGAAGCGCCAGGAACAAGAGCGCUACCAAAGACCCUGAGGGCUGGCGGUGGGAACGUACUGGCAGCGUUCCGUGGGCAUUAAACAACAGUGAAAAGUGAGGGACACUCAGAUGCGUGGCCCCGUGGAGGUUUUCCAGGAGAGACCCCUCUGGUCCAUGCCAGGUGAGUUCCUCUGGAACAGUGACAUCUAAAACCGCAUCCAACAGCCCCUGCUGCUCCCCCAGCACAGUCCCGCUCUGCCUGGACAGAAAGAUGCUGUCCUGCAAGUGACAGAAGGGAAGGACUCGCAAACACAGUGUGUAAAAUGUCACGGGAUUUCAGGAUGUAAAAAGGAAGCACUAAGGUGAACGGUCCCGAGAAGCUAACGCUUAGGGAAAAUUAAGUUGUCAGGAAUUUACAAAAUAGCCUCUGGUUGUCUCCUUUCACAAUAGUUCAGUUUGUAAGAUGAUGAAAAAUGAAUUAACUUUAGUGGUUUGCUGGCAUCACCCACAGUGAGCUAGACUUUCCAGAUGCUCAAAGAUCAUUCCUGCUCCACCAAGCUUACAUAAAUCCCACCUGGUUCAAGUUUAAGAAAACAACAGAACAAAGUCAAUCAUACAAACUCCAUCAUAAAAUACCAAGGAGGGUCAAAUACCAAUUAUCUGUACAGAGAGGUACUAAUUUUUAUUUAUGUUUCACUGAGUUAUUUUAGGAAAUGUAAAACUCUUAAUGGUUCCUGCAGCCAAACUAAUUCUUUUGUGCUGUAUAUGUGAUCUAAUUUCUUUUUUCUUUCCUGCCCCUCCCAAUCAAAUGUGUAACCCUACGGUGUGUGUUUUAAGGAUGGAAAUUUGAAGGGGAAAAAAAAAGUCCAAGAGGUAUACUGUAGUAGAAUUACGAUAGAUGGGAAAAUUUGCUUUAGCAUUUCCUAGUGUUUUUACUAACCGUACAAUCUCGAUGUUGUAUUAUUCUAGCACUGUCCUGUUUUUUAGUGAUCCAAAUUAGAAAAUUUAAAUGUGUUCAACAUGUACACCUAAGUGCCCCAUAUGCUGUAAAGGUUUUCAUCUA